CCUACGGGCGACAGCAGUGAGGAAUAUUGGUCAAUGGACGAGAGUCUGAACCAGCCAAGUAGCGUGAAGGAUGACUGCCCUAUGGGUUGUAAACUUCUUUUAUAUGGGAAUAAAAUGUUCCACGUGUGGGAUUUUGUAUGUACCAUAUGAAUAAGGAUCGGCUAACUCCGUGCCAGCAGCCGCGGUAAUACGGAGGAUCCGAGCGUUAUCCGGAUUUAUUGGGUUUAAAGGGAGCGUAGGUGGAUUGUUAAGUCAGUUGUGAAAGUUUGCGGCUCAACCGUAAAAUUGCAGUUGAAACUGGCAGUCUUGAGUACAGUAGAGGUGGGCGGAAUGCGUGGUGUAGCGGUGAAAUGCUUAGAUAUCACGAAGAACUCCGAUUGCGAAGGCAGUUCACUGGACUGCAACUGACACUGAGGCUCGAAAGUGUGGGUAUCAAACAGGAUUAGAUACCCGUGUAGUC
This 460-nucleotide ribosomal RNA is filed under the name uncultured bacterium. RNAcentral describes it as "partial 16S ribosomal RNA". It matches the Rfam family "Bacterial small subunit ribosomal RNA", at positions 338 to 795 of the family's 1533-position model. The record is from RNAcentral.